GCGGAUUAGCGGCGGACGGGUGAGUAACACGUGAGUAACCUGCCUUAGACAUUGGGAUAGCCUCGGGAAACCGGGAUUAAUACCAAAUAAAAUCAUAAUGACACAUGUCAUAACGAUCAAAACUCCGGUGGUCUAAGAUGGACUCGCGUCCCAUUAGCUAGUUGGUAGAGUAAAAGCCUACCAAGGCGACGAUGGGUAGCCGGCCUGAGAGGGUGAACGGCCACAUUGGAACUGAGAAACGGUCCAA
Molecule: ribosomal RNA, 247 nt
Filed under: uncultured Eubacteriales bacterium
Lineage: Bacteria; Bacillati; Bacillota; Clostridia; Eubacteriales
Description: uncultured Clostridiales bacterium partial 16S ribosomal RNA
Rfam family: Bacterial small subunit ribosomal RNA
Source: RNAcentral